AUAGAAAAUACUGGGUAGUGAUUUGAGUUUAUUUCAUAUGGAACUUCUUUGUUCUAAUAAGAUUAAUUUAGAACCGUAUAUUUGCUAAAAUAAUAUUUCAGUUACAUUAUGGGUGUUUCUUUUGGUGUUAUAACAAAUGACGUAAAGUAUGCAACUCUGACUUACAAAGAACUGAUAAACAUGGUGUUUCGAAGUGAUAAGUAUAGAAAAUGAAUUAUGAGGGGAUUAGGACUUCAUGAUUACGAAGAAACGAAGUCGGAUGUAAAUCAAAAUUACACCAAAAAAUUGUACAUCUAAGCUAAUCAACCAGACGAUUCAAUUGUGAUGGUCCCAAAAUCCUUCUUCAUUAAAUCGCCAGAAUAAAACGAAUUGAAGUCCAGCCUGUAGAACGAUACAUUAAACACUUGCAUCCAUUUGAUUUGUUAAAUAAGCUCACCAAAAUACGGGAAAUAAAUCAUCGAAAGGAAGAAAGGAAAGGAAAAUUAAAUUUUUCUUAAACUAAUUGGUGAGGCAAUGAAAUAAGCACCAGUGAGGUUCAAUCACCUCCACCAUCAUAUGAUAUUCCAAAUUCUGAACGCAAUGUAACAUCCUCUGUCGCAGAGCAAAGGCGGCCCUAUAGUGCUGCGCAUCGUCAAAAUGGAACUUUUUCGCAACUUU
Tribolium castaneum (red flour beetle) is the source of this 657-nucleotide long non-coding RNA. RefSeq lists it as uncharacterized. The transcript is spliced from 3 exons. NCBI's taxonomy places the organism in Eukaryota, Metazoa, Arthropoda, Insecta, Coleoptera, Tenebrionidae. The record is from RefSeq and is a predicted model, not a curated record.